RNAcentral lists this transfer RNA (67 nucleotides) under human gut metagenome. It matches the Rfam family "tRNA". Rfam says of the family: Transfer RNA (tRNA) molecules are approximately 80 nucleotides in length. The record is from RNAcentral.
GAAAUGGCUCAACUUGGUAGAGCACUUGGUUUGGGACCAAGGGGUUGCAGGUUCAAAUCCUGUUUUC